This 262-nucleotide unclassified non-coding RNA is filed under the name plant metagenome. Its description in RNAcentral is "partial contains small subunit ribosomal RNA, internal transcribed spacer 1, and 5.8S ribosomal RNA". The record is from RNAcentral.
UCUCCGUUGGUGAACCAGCGGAGGGAUCAUUACCGAGUUUACAACUCCCAAACCCCUAUGUGAACGUUACCAAACUGUUGCCUCGGCGGGAAAUUCAUGCCCCGGGCGCGUCGCAGCCCCGGACCAAGGCGCCCGCCGGAGGACCAACCAAAACUCUUUUGUAUGUCCCUCGCGGACUUUUAUAAUUCUGAACCAUCUCGGCGCCCCAAGCGGGCGUUUCGAAAAUGAAUCAAAACUUUCAACAACGGAUCUCUUGGUUCUG